UUGGUACUCCCUCCGUCCCAAAAUUCUUGUCUUAGAUUUAUUAGAUAUGAAUUUAUCUAGUCAUAUUUUAGUAUUUAAAUACAUUCAUUUCUAAACAAACCUAAGACAAUAAUUUUAGGACUGAGGAAGUAUUUG
This is a non-coding RNA of Hordeum vulgare subsp. vulgare (domesticated barley), 135 nucleotides long. Lineage: Eukaryota; Viridiplantae; Streptophyta; Magnoliopsida; Poales; Poaceae. The record is from Rfam.